RNAcentral lists this ribosomal RNA (343 nucleotides) under uncultured Desulfobulbus sp. RNAcentral describes it as "bacterial SSU rRNA". It matches the Rfam family "Bacterial small subunit ribosomal RNA", at positions 1039 to 1382 of the family's 1533-position model. Lineage: Bacteria; Pseudomonadati; Thermodesulfobacteriota; Desulfobulbia; Desulfobulbales; Desulfobulbaceae. The record is from RNAcentral.
GGCUGCAUGGCUGUCGUCAGCUCGUGUCGUGAGAUGUUGGGUUAAGUCCCGCAACGAGCGCAACCCUUGCCUUUAGUUGCCAGCAGUUCGGCUGGGCACUCUAAAGGGACUGCCGGUGUUAAACCGGAGGAAGGUGGGGAUGACGUCAAGUCCUCAUGGCCUUUAUGACCAGGGCUACACACGUACUACAAUGGCCGAUACAAAGGGCAGCGACACUGCGAGGUGAAGCCAAUCCCGUAAAAUCGGUCUCAGUCCGGAUUGGAGUCUGCAACUCGACUCCAUGAAGUUGGAAUCGCUAGUAAUCGUGGAUCAGCAUGCCACGGUGAAUACGUUCCCGGGCCUU